UAUACAAUUAAAAAAAAACCUAUUAAGCAUUAUCUUCACUUUUUGCAGAACUUGUUGCUUUUUGAGUUCUUCGUGCAUGAAGUACAGAAAGUGGAACAAAACCUACUCCUACAAUAUGGAGCCAAAUGGCAGUGGUUCCUCCUACAGAGCCACCCACGCACAGCUCUGUGUGAUGUGCUGCACAAAGCAGACACAGGAUGAGAGUUAAAUGAACAGCAGAGCUCACAUUCAAAGAUGGAAACGGGCCUGAAACAGUUUGCCCUUCUGUUCCUCACAGCAGCACUGGCAGCUAGGGUGAUAUCAACUCAACGUGUUGUAUAUCUGACUGAAAAGGAGGCAAAGACAAGAGUGGAGGUUGAAGUUGGUUCUUCUGUGAUUUUUAACUGCAGUUUGAACACAACGAACAUUAAGGAGUGUAACAUUGAGUGGCAUUUUUGCCCCUCUGACAAUAAAAAAGGGGCAUGCAAGAAUAAGUCAUUGAACUGCAACAAGACGAACCACCUGUCCUCUGUUAACGAAACACACAGUGGACGGUACUCGUGCAAAGUCGUAGGAAAGAUUCCCAUACCAUGCAUAAUUCUGAGCACUGAAAGAGAGCUAUAUGUUUCUAACUCUACAAACUCUGGCUUGGUGAUUCAAUGGUGGAUGUGGAUCAUUUUGGGAGUGUCGUUAUUUUUGCUGAUCAUCUUGACGGUCGUGUGCUGGUUGAAAAUAAAAAGAUUCCACAGAAGUAAAGCAGAGCCAGUCUACAUCAAUACCAAAAAGAGGCAUCAUUUACCUCAACCAGUGAAGUCCGCAGACAACUUACACCCAGUGGGCUCUUGUCAAAGCCACCACAGCAUCUCCAGCUCUGCACGAAGAAACCACAAAGACAAACAAGCAUGCAAACCCUGAGCAGCUUCUGGACACCACUGCUCACGUUUAGCAGCACAUUGUAACUGCGACACAAUGAAACUGCCAGUGUGAACUCACAGGAUUGACUCAGGCAGGCCAAACAACAACAUGUAACUAAAUACAACCUGCUCAGUAAGAUAAAUAUAAAGAAAAUAAUCAUUUAAUGAUGAUAAGUUAGUUAUAGUGAGAUAACAGGAGCAGUGCAGCAUGUACAACUUAUCAGAUUUAGGAGGGAAUUACUUUUUCCACUUUAGGCCAGGUUUACGUAAAUGUUUUUAAAUGAAUAAAUUAAAAAUAAUUAACA
RNAcentral lists this long non-coding RNA (1198 nucleotides) under Gouania willdenowi (blunt-snouted clingfish). RNAcentral describes it as "lncRNA (ENSGWIG00000007575.1)". Lineage: Eukaryota; Metazoa; Chordata; Actinopteri; Blenniiformes; Gobiesocidae. The record is from RNAcentral.